Molecule: ribosomal RNA, 238 nt
Filed under: uncultured bacterium
Lineage: Bacteria
Description: partial 16S ribosomal RNA
Rfam family: Bacterial small subunit ribosomal RNA
Source: RNAcentral
UGGCGAACGGGUGAGUAACGCGUGAAUAACCUGACUCAAAGAGGGGGAUAACAACGGGAAACUGUUGCUAAUACCGCAUGAGACCACAACACCGCAUGAUGAAGGGGUCAAAGAUUUAUCGCUUUGAGAGGGGUUCGCGUCCCAUUAGGUAGUUGGAGGGGUAACGGCCCACCAAGCCAACGAUGGGUAGCCGAGCUGAGAGGCUGAUCGGCCACACUGGAACUGAGACACGGUCCAG